UAUUACUUGUAAUGCCCCAUUUUUCUGUC
RNAcentral lists this small RNA (29 nucleotides) under Bombyx mori (domestic silkworm). RNAcentral's name for it is "piRNA piR-bmo-1789992". The record is from RNAcentral. Lineage: Eukaryota; Metazoa; Arthropoda; Insecta; Lepidoptera; Bombycidae.